UCCAGUAGUGCUGAGAUACUGCAUGCAAUGGGUCGACCUAUAGCACCCAAGAUGAGCAGGAUAUCAACUAUGGAUUAUCACACGGCCGACCCCAUCGUUCAAAUGCAGUUGUCUGGGGAUAUGGCCGCCAACAGGGAAGCUCAAAGGAAGGCUACACACAAUGAAGGUGCUGCAAAUUCAAUACUGAAAGUUAUAGUGUACAACAGAUGUACAUGUACUUACGUAGUCAUAAUCACAUUUCCCACAAAAUACAAAUUUGUCACUUCUAAAACUAAUAACUUAUUUGCUGUGUGGGGGCUAUCCAUCCAUGCUGUAAACGUCUAAGUAUGCCUUGAUUUUCAUUUUAUACUGUACAGUAGGUGUGUGUGUGUGUGUGUGUGUGUGUGUGUGUGUGUGAGGUCAAGAUUCAUUUAUUUUGCCAAUUGGCUCAGCUUCAUUGUACAUGCCCUAAACACGAUAAUUACCAGUUGUUGUUGUUCUUCCCACGCCCAAUUGAGCGUCGGCGUCGGGACAGGAUCAACGAGCUCAUCAAGGUACUGGCUCAGAUAGUGCCUGCUUUUCAGAAGAAAGACGCAACUACUGGUUCCAUUGUCGGGUAUGUGUACAGCAAGGGAACGGUACUGGACAAGACAGUGGACUACUUGAAAGAGCUCGUGUUUCAAAAUGAACAACUCACAGCCAGUGCCAAAAUCGCAGAGAAAUCUUUAGCAAUGCUUCAAAACCAGAUCCAAGUCCUAGAGAAAGAGAACGCAUUUCUUCAAGCACAGAUUAUCCAGUUUGGAAUUGAUGUAGCUGCCUCCUCUGGUCAGAAGCAACCUAACCAGCAACUUCUAAACUCUCCUCUGGCCCAGAAUCUCCCCUUCACUUACUAUAGCUAUACAUUGUCAGUAUUAUUAUGUAUACCACACAUAGUUUUUAUACAUGAUAUUUGUCUUAUUGAACCUGAGCAUAAUAAAAAUUGUGAACAAAGCUACGCCCAUUAUAAUUAUGUGCAGUCUAGCCUCCAUCUCAAGCCGCACUUCCUCGAAAAUUGGCCUGGUAGUAUACGCUGCUUGUGCAUGCGCUAACCCACCGCUGUUUCACAACAAUGAAGCUAUCGAUUUAAUGUGCUUGAUCGCUGACUGGAAUGAGCCUUUUGCUGGUCUGCCAGGUGUGUAGGAUUGUUUCUUUGGCCUCCCACCAACACUGUGAGUGCUAACGCUUAAACAAACUGAGCAAUUAACACUGUGUGCAGACCAGGUCGCAAUCGUUUUUUGUGGAUUAUAAUCUUUUCCGUCUCUAGUGUGCUUAAUAGUAUGAUAAAUAAUGUUAUUGCAUGGGUGACAAUAUGAUUGGGGAUGAAUUGCGUCCACAUCUUCGUUCACUUCUAUCCCAAAAACCUCCAGAAGAUCAACCUUUCUGUCUGAACAGGAAUACUUAUGGCCUUGAGGACCUUUCUUGUUCCUGAAAUAAGACCCACACACCCGACAGUGCUUGGAGAGUGCUACAAGGUGCUCAUCAUCCAUUCCUGAAUGUAUUAUUUGUUGUUAGUCUUUAACCAUACUAUGUGAGUAUAUAUAAAUCAUUAUUGUAUUGAAGUCGUAAUUAUUUUUUGUCAAUUUUUGGUCAAUUUUCAAUCCUAAUUAAUAUUUGUUGCAAAAAAAAGUGAAGUUACCUGUUGCUGUCAAAUAGUAGUAUGAGACUUCCUCUUGGGAUUGCUGCAGAGAUCACUUAAAGAAAAACUCUUUUGUUGUCAGGAAUUAGUGGUCAAAACAUCUACUUAGCACCUUGUAGUUGACCAUUAAUUAAGUGCAGUGUAGUUUGCAGGUGCGCAUGGGCAGCCUAAUGACUGUUGCUAUGCGCAUUUGGUGUCAUUCAGUAGAGGACAAGGUGCACAUGACUGUCACUCUGCUUUCAUGUGAUUUAGAUGAAUAACUAAGCAGUUGCCAUGGGUAUAAAUAUUUCAUAAUACAAGAAAUUUACAGAUGUAAAACCACACCCACUUUCCAAUAUUUCAUUGAGUUGCAUUCUGUUCUAAUUACCAACUAAGUAGCAGUCUUGAAACAGCGGUGAACCAUAAUUAUGCUACUGAACAUGAAAACUGUGCUGAUGAAGAACCUUCAUCAAGAACAAGAACACUGACUCAGGACGAGGAGGACUUUGACAAGUUCCUGGAGAGUGCCAAAGCUCAGCAGCUCUCACCCUCCACAAUUAAAAGUUCCCGAGCCCCACCCCUCACUGUCUGACUUGAAAGAGGAGAUAGACUUUGGAUUCUGGGAGAAGGCGUCCACCCUACCCUCGGACAAGACCCCAACCAAGGACCUGAACUUGUUAUGAGACUGUUAAUAUUAUUUUGUCUGUUUUUGUACUAUUUUCUGGCAAUGUAAUUAUGUAUGUACCACUUCAUGUCAUCAUAAUAACUAUAAUUAAAAGUCUGU
Halichondria panicea is the source of this 2417-nucleotide RNA transcript. RefSeq lists it as uncharacterized. The transcript has 5 exons. Lineage: Eukaryota; Metazoa; Porifera; Demospongiae; Suberitida; Halichondriidae. The record is from RefSeq and is a predicted model, not a curated record.